RNAcentral lists this long non-coding RNA (245 nucleotides) under Panax ginseng (ginseng). RNAcentral's name for it is "long non-coding RNA (PGIN_LNC007241)". The record is from RNAcentral. Lineage: Eukaryota; Viridiplantae; Streptophyta; Magnoliopsida; Apiales; Araliaceae.
CCCAAUGUCUGUUAUCCGAAUCACCUUACUGGAUUUUGCCUGUGAUCUGAGUAACUUUAUUGUUUCAGAUUUGUCGAUAUAGUAACCCCAAACAGCUUAAACAUUCGUACCUUGGGCAUUUGCUCAAAUGAUUCAGUUUGUACCAUAGUAUAUAUCUUUCAUGGCUUAUGGAGUAUAUUCUAUGCAAAGUUUCAUGUCUGGUCUUGUUGAGUGCAGAAAACUUACAGUGUUUCCAGCACUCAAAC